Molecule: ribosomal RNA, 255 nt
Filed under: uncultured Imbricatea
Lineage: Eukaryota; Cercozoa; Imbricatea
Description: partial small subunit ribosomal RNA
Rfam family: Eukaryotic small subunit ribosomal RNA
Source: RNAcentral
AGCUCCAGUAGCGUAUAUUAAAGUUGCUGCAGUUAAAAAGCUCGUAGUUGGAUUUCUGGCUUGACUCGACUGGCCCGCUACAAUAGUAGUGAGUGUCGGCUCGUGUCUGCCAUCCUUCCACAGAACGUUUCUACCCUUUACUGGGCGGGAUUCGCAAUGUGGAACUUUUACUUUGAAAAAAUUAGAGUGUUCAAAGCAGGCUUACGCUAUGAAUACAUUAGCAUGGAAUAAUAAUUUAGGACUUCGGUUCUAUUU